This 422-nucleotide ribosomal RNA is filed under the name uncultured bacterium. RNAcentral describes it as "bacterial SSU rRNA". It matches the Rfam family "Bacterial small subunit ribosomal RNA", at positions 355 to 774 of the family's 1533-position model. The record is from RNAcentral.
UGAGGAAUAUUGGUCAAUGGGGGCAACCCUGAACCAGCCAAGUCGCGUGAAGGAUGAAGGUCUUAUGGAUUGUAAACUUCUUUUACACGGGAAUAAAGUGGGGGACGUGUCCCCCUUUGCAUGUACCGUGUGAAUAAGGAUCGGCUAACUCCGUGCCAGCAGCCGCGGUAAUACGGAGGAUCCGAGCGUUAUCCGGAUUUAUUGGGUUUAAAGGGUGCGCAGGCGGGAUGUUAAGCCGGCGGUGAAAUUUUGCAGCUCAACUGUAAAAGUGCCUUCGAUACUGGCCUCCUUGAGUGUGGAUGAAGUAGGCGGAAUUUGUGGUGUAGCGGUGAAAUGCUUAGAUAUCACGAGGAACUCCGAUUGCGCAGGCAGCUUACUAAGCCACAACUGACGCUCAUGCACGAAGGCGUGGGGAUCAAACA